UAAAUUGAGAGUUUGAUCCUGGCUCAGGACGAACGCUGGCGGCGUGCCUAACACAUGCAAGUCGAGCGGAGAAUGCGGAUAUGUUUACAUAGAAGCGUUCUUAGCGGCGGACGGGUGAGUAACACGUGGGUAACCUGCCUCAAAGUGGGG
Molecule: non-coding RNA, 150 nt
Filed under: Proteiniclasticum ruminis
Lineage: Bacteria; Bacillati; Bacillota; Clostridia; Eubacteriales; Clostridiaceae
Description: Clostridium sp. D3RC-2 Bacterial small subunit ribosomal RNA
Rfam family: Bacterial small subunit ribosomal RNA
Source: Rfam by way of RNAcentral